GGGCUUUUUUUCUGCUCAUCUCUCCCAUCUUUCUGCUUUGCUUGUCUUCUUUGCUGGCCCGCCGCUGACCCCUUCCUCGGUGCGCCCUUCUCUCCUCCUCUCGUCUACUCCCGCCCUCUUACCCGGACGCGUCGUGUCAACGGAGAAGGCGGUCUUGCGGUGCGGCAAUUGUAGUCGGAGCGAACUAUGCGGCAUUAUAGGCCGGUGGGGUGGAGCCGCAAACGAACGCGCAAAAAAGUCGGAUGGCCACGAAACACGACAAGAUUGCCACGACAUACCGUCGCCUGUUUUAUCAUCCUUUCUUUUACCAUUAUUGUGGUUCCACCUCCCUUCCUCUAUACCGUUAGGAUGGUUGAACGCCUUAGCGUGGUGUUUCAGGGCCCACUGCCCCUCCCCUUCCCUCUGCCACUCUCUCUGCCUGGGAAAGCCAGGUAGCCCCUCCCUACCCCUGCCAAAUACCGCGCCACUUCGGAUGGUGCCAGUGCCUGGUGCCUGUGACGUAGAUGUCAGAGCGAUGCAUCGCUGCUGACGUCGGUAGCCGGGCUCCGAAUGGCGUUGCGUCGGAGCGACCUGCGACCGUGAGCACGCGUGCGCCAUCCAUGCGGUGGGCAGAGUGUCAGCGGGACUGGAGCGUGCAUCAUCCCCGGCCCUCGCCCUGCCUGCUGGUGCGGGGGGAGCCUGAGGGUUGCCCCGAGGGGGCUGCACCAGGUGGGGACAGGCAUGAUGGGCGAGCGGCCGUGCGGCGGCCUGCUCAGCGGAGGUGGAUAGAGCUCGAUGCAGGUGUGGCGCUGCGACGACUGCGUCGCCGUUGCGGUAGCACGUGUGUGCGGCUGCUUGGCAUCACGCAAACGAGCUGGCGACGGGCCCGGGCCGAGUUCUGUUGGGCCCCAUGCUCUGCAGCAGAUAGCGGGCACGUUGUCGUUAAAAGUCGUUAUCAGCAGUCCUCGAC
RNAcentral lists this unclassified non-coding RNA (949 nucleotides) under Leishmania donovani. RNAcentral describes it as "gene:unknown". The record is from RNAcentral. Lineage: Eukaryota; Euglenozoa; Kinetoplastea; Trypanosomatida; Trypanosomatidae.